RNAcentral lists this ribosomal RNA (498 nucleotides) under uncultured bacterium. Its description in RNAcentral is "partial 16S ribosomal RNA". It matches the Rfam family "Bacterial small subunit ribosomal RNA", at positions 30 to 523 of the family's 1533-position model. The record is from RNAcentral.
AUUGAACGCUGGCGGCAUGCCUUACACAUGCAAGUCGAACGGUAACAGGUCUUCGGAUGCUGACGAGUGGCGAACGGGUGAGUAAUACAUCGGAACGUGCCUAGUAGUGGGGGAUAGCUACUCGAAAGAGUGGCUAAUACCGCACGAGAUCUACGGAUGAAAGCAGGGGAUCGCAAGACCUUGUGCUACUAGAGCGGCCGAUGGCAGAUUAGGUAGUUGGUGGGAUAAAAGCUUACCAAGCCGACGAUCUGUAGCUGGUCUGAGAGGACGACCAGCCACACUGGGACUGAGACACGGCCCAGACUCCUACGGGAGGCAGCAGUGGGGAAUUUUGGACAAUGGGCGCAAGCCUGAUCCAGCCAUGCCGCGUGCGGGAAGAAGGCCUUCGGGUUGUAAACCGCUUUUGUCAGGGAGGAAAUCCCUUGGGUUAAUACCUCGGGGGGAUGACGGUACCUGAAGAAUAAGCACCGGCUAACUACGUGCCAGCCGCCGCCGUAA